AUGGUAAACAUGGUGGAGCAGCAGGACGCCGGCGAGGACAUCGUCAUCGCAGGCGCCGGCGUGGCAGGCCUCGCCGUCGCCCUGGGCCUCCACAGGAAAGGCGUUGGGUGCGUGGUGCUGGAGUCGUCGCCGGUGCUCCGGACUUCCGGGUUCGCGAUCGCCGCAUGGACGAACGCCUUCCGCGCGCUUGAUGCCCUUGGGGUAGGCGACACCAUUAGGAGUAAACACCUGCAGAUCCAACUGGCGUGUGUCAUGUCUCCGACAACAGGGGACGUGGCGCGAGAGAUUGAUCUCCGGGUGCAAGGAAAAUGCGGACCCAAUGAAGCCCGGUGCGUGCAGCGUAACGUGCUGCUCCAUGCACUGGAGGAAGAGCUUCCGCCAGGCACCAUCCGCUACUCCUCCAAGAUCGUCUCCAUCGACGACCAAGACGGCGACGGCGACGGCGAUGCCAAGAUCCUCCAUCUCGCCGACGGCUCCAUUCUCCGUGCAAAGGUACUGAUUGGCUGUGAUGGGAUCAACUCGGUGGUGGCGAAAUGGCUGGGGCUCGCCAAGCCGUCCGACUCGGGGCGCAGGGCCACGCGGGGCCACGCCAAGUACCCCGAUCGGCCAUGGCUUCGAGCCCAAGAUGCUGCAGUUCAGCGGCCAGGGCUUCCGCGCGGGCUUGGUCCCGUGCAACCACACCGACGUCUACUGGUUCUUCACAUGGUCUCCUUCUCCUACUCCGGGCGGUAA
Molecule: ribosomal RNA, 732 nt
Filed under: Triticum aestivum (bread wheat)
Lineage: Eukaryota; Viridiplantae; Streptophyta; Magnoliopsida; Poales; Poaceae
Description: partial small subunit ribosomal RNA
Source: RNAcentral